GCGGCGCCCUACGGGAGGCAGCAGUGGGGAAUAUUGCACAAUGGGCGCAAGCCUGAUGCAGCCAUGCCGCGUGUAUGAAGAAGGCCUUCGGGUUGUAAAGUACUUUCAGCGGGGAGGAAGGCGAUAAGGUUAAUAACCUUGUCGAUUGACGUUACCCGCAGAAGAAGCACCGGCUAACUCCGUGCCAGCAGCCGCGGGUAAU
RNAcentral lists this ribosomal RNA (202 nucleotides) under uncultured bacterium. RNAcentral's name for it is "partial 16S ribosomal RNA". It matches the Rfam family "Bacterial small subunit ribosomal RNA", at positions 331 to 524 of the family's 1533-position model. The record is from RNAcentral.